UACAGAGACCCCAAGCAUUAUCCGGAAUUACUGGGCGUAAAGCGCAAACAGCCGGUUGUAUUAGUCUGAUGUAAAAGCAUGGGGCCCAACUUCAUGAUCGCAUUGGAAACGGUACAGCUAGAGUAGAUAAGAGGAGAGCAGAACGUAUGGUGUAGGGGUGAAAUCCACUGAUAUCAUACGGAAUACCAAAAGCGAAGGCAGCUCUCUAGUGUCUUACUGACGGUCAAUUGCGAAAGCGUGGGGAUCAAAAAGG
This 253-nucleotide ribosomal RNA is filed under the name uncultured bacterium. RNAcentral describes it as "partial 16S ribosomal RNA". It matches the Rfam family "Bacterial small subunit ribosomal RNA", at positions 524 to 776 of the family's 1533-position model. The record is from RNAcentral.